GUCAAUUAGUGCCAAUUAGGAUUUAUACUUUAUGACAAUAGCGGUUUAAAUGAUGUGCACUGAUGACAAAUGAACUUAAUUGGGUGUGAUUAUCGCGAAGUUAGCGAGAAGGGCAAGUGCGAAUCACAGUUCCAGUUGGUACAACGAAGAUGCAGAUAAAAAUUGGCACUGCGAAGUUUGUAGAGGUGCUAAGUUGGACAACGCCUACGCCCGUGGACAUGACCAACCAGCAAAAACAACCAAUCAUCAGAGACAUGGCUUGUCAAAUCAGCACAAGGCCGCCUUGGAAAAGACAGUUCUGAGUUCCCAGGAACCCAUGAAGAAAAUUGUACUGGCCAAACUGUCCAAGGAUGACGAGCUCGGGGUCAAGCUCCUUAAGACUGCCUACCACCUGGCCAAGCGGGAGCUCCCCAAGGUGGAAUUUCAGUACCACCUCCAGCUUGCCGGGGCCAUAGGUGCUGAUCUCGGCUGACCUUGAGACCUACAUUGUGUAGACUGAUCAAGUGUAUAGUGCUUCUUGUUUUGAGAACUAGGAUGUGAUGAUAUAUUGACUACUUUUUUGUUUUUUACAAUUGAUGUCAUGUUGUUUGAUUUCAGCUAGUUUUGUUUGUAUUUAUUAGCUUAUUUUAUUUAUUUAUCAUGUAUUUAAAUUCAGAUAUAUAUUUA
Molecule: long non-coding RNA, 666 nt
Organism: Mya arenaria
Lineage: Eukaryota; Metazoa; Mollusca; Bivalvia; Myida; Myidae
Exons: 3
Source: RefSeq, a predicted model, not a curated record